GGGUUGUGAGGUUAAGCGACUAAGCGUACACGGUGGAUGCCCUGGCAGUCAGAGGCGAUGAAGGACGUGCUAAUCUGCGAUAAGCGUCGGUAAGGUGAUAUGAACCGUUAUAACCGGCGAUUUCCGAAUGGGGAAACCCAGUGUGAUUCGUCACACUAUCAUUAACUGAAUCCAUAGGUUAAUGAGGCGAACCGGGGGAACUGAAACAUCUAAGUACCCCGAGGAAAAGAAAUCAACCGAGAUUCCCCCAGUAGCGGCGAGCGAACGGGGAGGAGCCCAGAGCCUGAAUCAGUGUGUGUGUUAGUGGAAGCGUCUGGAAAGGCGCGCGAUACAGGGUGACAGCCCCGUACACAAAAAUGCACAUACUGUGAGCUCGAUGAGUAGGGCGGGACACGUGGUAUCCUGUCUGAAUAUGGGGGGACCAUCCUCCAAGGCUAAAUACUCCUGACUGACCGAUAGUGAACCAGUACCGUGAGGGAAAGGCGAAAAGAACCCCGGCGAGGGGAGUGAAAAAGAACCUGAAACCGUGUACGUACAAGCAGUGGGAGCCUCUUUUAUGGGGUGACUGCGUACCUUUUGUAUAAUGGGUCAGCGACUUAUAUUCUGUAGCAAGGUUAACCGAAUAGGGGAGCCGAAGGGAAACCGAGUCUUAACCGGGCGUUAAGUUGCAGGGUAUAGACCCGAAACCCGGUGAUCUAGCCAUGGGCAGGUUGAAGGUUGGGUAACACUAACUGGAGGACCGAACCGACUAAUGUUGAAAAAUUAGCGGAUGACUUGUGGCUGGGGGUGAAAGGCCAAUCAAACCGGGAGAUAGCUGGUUCUCCCCGAAAGCUAUUUAGGUAGCGCCUCGUGAAUUCAUCUCCGGGGGUAGAGCACUGUUUCGGCAAGGGGGUCAUCCCGACUUACCAACCCGAUGCAAACUGCGAAUACCGGAGAAUGUUAUCACGGGAGACACACGGCGGGUGCUAACGUCCGUCGUGAAGAGGGAAACAACCCAGACCGCCAGCUAAGGUCCCAAAGUCAUGGUUAAGUGGGAAACGAUGUGGGAAGGCCCAGACAGCCAGGAUGUUGGCUUAGAAGCAGCCAUCAUUUAAAGAAAGCGUAAUAGCUCACUGGUCGAGUCGGCCUGCGCGGAAGAUGUAACGGGGCUAAACCAUGCACCGAAGCUGCGGCAGCGACACUGUGUGUUGUUGGGUAGGGGAGCGUUCUGUAAGCCUGUGAAGGUGUACUGUAAGGUAUGCUGGAGGUAUCAGAAGUGCGAAUGCUGACAUAAGUAACGAUAAAGCGGGUGAAAAGCCCGCUCGCCGGAAGACCAAGGGUUCCUGUCCAACGUUAAUCGGGGCAGGGUGAGUCGACCCCUAAGGCGAGGCCGAAAGGCGUAGUCGAUGGGAAACAGGUUAAUAUUCCUGUACUUGGUGUUACUGCGAAGGGGGGACGGAGAAGGCUAUGUUGGCCGGGCGACGGUUGUCCCGGUUUAAGCGUGUAGGCUGGUUUUCCAGGCAAAUCCGGAAAAUCAAGGCUGAGGCGUGAUGACGAGGCACUACGGUGCUGAAGCAACAAAUGCCCUGCUUCCAGGAAAAGCCUCUAAGCAUCAGGUAACAUCAAAUCGUACCCCAAACCGACACAGGUGGUCAGGUAGAGAAUACCAAGGCGCUUGAGAGAACUCGGGUGAAGGAACUAGGCAAAAUGGUGCCGUAACUUCGGGAGAAGGCACGCUGAUAUGUAGGUGAAGUCCCUCGCGGAUGGAGCUGAAAUCAGUCGAAGAUACCAGCUGGCUGCAACUGUUUAUUAAAAACACAGCACUGUGCAAACACGAAAGUGGACGUAUACGGUGUGACGCCUGCCCGGUGCCGGAAGGUUAAUUGAUGGGGUCAGCGCAAGCGAAGCUCUUGAUCGAAGCCCCGGUAAACGGCGGCCGUAACUAUAACGGUCCUAAGGUAGCGAAAUUCCUUGUCGGGUAAGUUCCGACCUGCACGAAUGGCGUAAUGAUGGCCAGGCUGUCUCCACCCGAGACUCAGUGAAAUUGAACUCGCUGUGAAGAUGCAGUGUACCCGCGGCAAGACGGAAAGACCCCGUGAACCUUUACUAUAGCUUGACACUGAACAUUGAGCCUUGAUGUGUAGGAUAGGUGGGAGGCUUUGAAGUGUGGACGCCAGUCUGCAUGGAGCCGACCUUGAAAUACCACCCUUUAAUGUUUGAUGUUCUAACGUGGACCCGUGAUCCGGGUUGCGGACAGUGUCUGGUGGGUAGUUUGACUGGGGCGGUCUCCUCCUAAAGAGUAACGGAGGAGCACGAAGGUUGGCUAAUCCUGGUCGGACAUCAGGAGGUUAGUGCAAUGGCAUAAGCCAGCUUGACUGCGAGCGUGACGGCGCGAGCAGGUGCGAAAGCAGGUCAUAGUGAUCCGGUGGUUCUGAAUGGAAGGGCCAUCGCUCAACGGAUAAAAGGUACUCCGGGGAUAACAGGCUGAUACCGCCCAAGAGUUCAUAUCGACGGCGGUGUUUGGCACCUCGAUGUCGGCUCAUCACAUCCUGGGGCUGAAGUAGGUCCCAAGGGUAUGGCUGUUCGCCAUUUAAAGUGGUACGCGAGCUGGGUUUAGAACGUCGUGAGACAGUUCGGUCCCUAUCUGCCGUGGGCGCUGGAGAACUGAGGGGGGCUGCUCCUAGUACGAGAGGACCGGAGUGGACGCAUCACUGGUGUUCGGGUUGUCAUGCCAAUGGCACUGCCCGGUAGCUAAAUGCGGAAGAGAUAAGUGCUGAAAGCAUCUAAGCACGAAACUUGCCCCGAGAUGAGUUCUCCCUGACCCUUUAAGGGUCCUGAAGGAACGUUGAAGACGACGACGUUGAUAGGCCGGGUGUGUAAGCGCAGCGAUGCGUUGAGCUAACCGGUACUAAUGAACCGUGAGGCUUAACCUUACAACGCCGAAGGUGUUU
RNAcentral lists this ribosomal RNA (2930 nucleotides) under Escherichia coli. Its description in RNAcentral is "bacterial LSU rRNA". It matches the Rfam family "Bacterial large subunit ribosomal RNA". Lineage: Bacteria; Pseudomonadati; Pseudomonadota; Gammaproteobacteria; Enterobacterales; Enterobacteriaceae. The record is from RNAcentral.